GGUUUCUAUGAUUGGUGUCAAACG
Molecule: non-coding RNA, 24 nt
Filed under: Arabidopsis thaliana (thale cress)
Lineage: Eukaryota; Viridiplantae; Streptophyta; Magnoliopsida; Brassicales; Brassicaceae
Source: RNAcentral